Long non-coding RNA from Brienomyrus brachyistius, 273 nucleotides. RefSeq lists it as uncharacterized. The transcript is spliced from 2 exons. NCBI's taxonomy places the organism in Eukaryota, Metazoa, Chordata, Actinopteri, Osteoglossiformes, Mormyridae. The record is from RefSeq and is a predicted model, not a curated record.
GGAUUAGAUUAAUUGUAAAUAAAGCAGUCCUCCUUAGAGGGGGGGUGGUGGAGGGAAUAUUUAAGAAAUAAAAAUAGGAUUAAUUCAGAAGGUUAAGAUAAGAUUGUAUAACAUAGGGCUACAGUGAAGAAAUCAAAAAUUUCAAGGCAGCAUGAAGGUAACGCACAAUCAGGGAUGUGCAAUUUCUGAGGCAUGUAUUCAAAAAAAGUAUUUUAAUUGUGUUUUAUGAUUCAUAUUUGACUUAGUUCAUGAAAUAAAAUGUUUUUUUCUACA